GGGCCCUUAGCUCAGUUUGGUUAGAGCGCCUCCCUUUUAAGGAGGAUGUCGUUAGUUCGAGUCUAACAGGGCUCACCA
This 78-nucleotide transfer RNA is filed under the name bacterium. Its description in RNAcentral is "tRNA-Lys". It matches the Rfam family "tRNA". From Rfam's summary of the family: Transfer RNA (tRNA) molecules are approximately 80 nucleotides in length. Their secondary structure includes four short double-helical elements and three loops (D, anti-codon, and T loops). Further hydrogen bonds mediate the characteristic L-shaped molecular structure. tRNAs have two regions of fundamental functional importance: the anti-codon, which is responsible for specific mRNA codon recognition, and the 3' end, to which the tRNAs corresponding amino acid is attached (by aminoacyl-tRNA synthetases). tRNAs cope with the degeneracy of the genetic code in two manners: having more than one tRNA (with a specific anti-codon) for a particular amino acid; and 'wobble' base-pairing, i.e. permitting non-standard base-pairing at the 3rd anti-codon position. The record is from RNAcentral. RNAcentral also lists the same sequence under 1 other name.